Molecule: ribosomal RNA, 397 nt
Filed under: uncultured organism
Description: bacterial SSU rRNA
Rfam family: Bacterial small subunit ribosomal RNA
Source: RNAcentral
CGCCUAAUACAUGCAAGUCGAGCGAGAAGGUGUAGCAAUACACUUGUAAAGCGGCGAACGGGUGAGGAAUACAUGGGUAACCUACCCUCGAGUGGGGAAUAACUAGCCGAAAGGUUAGCUAAUACCGCGUACGCUUCCGGGACUGCGGUUCCGGAAGGAAAGCGAGGCCGUGGGUCUCGCGCUCUUGGAUGGGCUCAUGUCCUAUCAGCUUGUUGGUGAGGUAACGGCUCACCAAGGCUUCGACGGGUAGCUGGUCUGAGAGGACGAUCAGCCACACUGGCACUGCGACACGGGCCAGACUCCUACGGGAGGCAGCAGUAAGGAAUAUUGCGCAAUGGACGACAGUCUGACGCAGCGACGCCGCGUGGGGGACGAAGGUCUUCGGGUUGUAAACCCC